This 340-nucleotide ribosomal RNA is filed under the name Bacillus thuringiensis. RNAcentral describes it as "bacterial SSU rRNA". It matches the Rfam family "Bacterial small subunit ribosomal RNA", at positions 145 to 481 of the family's 1533-position model. The record is from RNAcentral. Lineage: Bacteria; Bacillati; Bacillota; Bacilli; Caryophanales; Bacillaceae.
AACUCCGGGAAACCGGGGCUAAUACCGGAUAAUAUUUUGAACUGCAUGGUUCGAAAUUGAAAGGCGGCUUCGGCUGUCACUUAUGGAUGGACCCGCGUCGCAUUAGCUAGUUGGUGAGGUAACGGCUCACCAAGGCAACGAUGCGUAGCCGACCUGAGAGGGUGAUCGGCCACACUGGGACUGAGACACGGCCCAGACUCCUACGGGAGGCAGCAGUAGGGAAUCUUCCGCAAUGGACGAAAGUCUGACGGAGCAACGCCGCGUGAGUGAUGAAGGCUUUCGGGUCGUAAAACUCUGUUGUUAGGGAAGAACAAGUGCUAGUUGAAUAAGCUGGCACCUU